GACGAACGCUGGCGGCGUGCCUAAUACAUGCAAGUCGAACGCAGUGGGGACGGGUGAGUAACACGUGGGUAACCUCCCAUCAGAGGGGAUAACACUUGGAAACAGGUGCUAAACCGAUACUGAUGGAUGGACCCGCGGUGCAUUCGCUAGUUGGUGAGGUAACGGCUCACCAAGGCCACGAUGCAUAGCCGAAGUGGGAGGGUGAGCUGGCACACUGGGACUGAGACACGGCCCAGACCCCUACGGGAGGCAGCAGUAGGGAAUCUUCGGCAAUGGACGAAAGUCUGACCGAGCAACGCCGCGUGAGUGAAGAAGGUGUUCGGAUCGGAAAACUCUGUUGUUAGAGAAGCGUUAUCUAUCCAGAAAGCCACGGCUAACUACGUGCCAGUAGCCGCGGUAGCGGUAAUUC
Molecule: ribosomal RNA, 409 nt
Filed under: uncultured bacterium
Lineage: Bacteria
Description: partial 16S ribosomal RNA
Rfam family: Bacterial small subunit ribosomal RNA
Source: RNAcentral